GGGAAUAGAGCAUAAAUAUGCGGUUAACUUGAAAUUAGCAGAUGGCAGUUUUAUUCUGUCUUUUCUCG
Molecule: transfer RNA, 68 nt
Filed under: Sibon nebulatus (cloudy snail-eating snake)
Lineage: Eukaryota; Metazoa; Chordata; Lepidosauria; Squamata; Dipsadidae
Description: tRNA-Ser
Rfam family: tRNA
About the family: Transfer RNA (tRNA) molecules are approximately 80 nucleotides in length. Their secondary structure includes four short double-helical elements and three loops (D, anti-codon, and T loops).
Source: RNAcentral